CGAACUAGCUUAAUCAUUUUCUAAAAAAAUAUAAAUAAAAAAAUAUAUGUAUUUCCUUUUAUCCUUUGCCUCAUCUCUGCUAAUCUUUCUUCUUCUCUAAUCCUUGAUCUCUGGUCUAUCAUGAAUUCAAACAUGUCUAUCUAUGAAUUUCAUAGACCUACGGGCACACAUCUCGAACCACCAAAAUCUUCAAAGCCUAUCAUAGCAUCUAGUUUUGAGAUAGACACCGAAUACAUAGAAUUUGUUCAAAAACAACCUUUCUCAGG
RNAcentral lists this long non-coding RNA (266 nucleotides) under Sorghum bicolor (sorghum). RNAcentral's name for it is "long non-coding RNA (SBIC_LNC014253)". Lineage: Eukaryota; Viridiplantae; Streptophyta; Magnoliopsida; Poales; Poaceae. The record is from RNAcentral.